This is a long non-coding RNA of Zophobas morio, 833 nucleotides long. RefSeq lists it as uncharacterized. The transcript has 3 exons. The record is from RefSeq and is a predicted model, not a curated record. Lineage: Eukaryota; Metazoa; Arthropoda; Insecta; Coleoptera; Tenebrionidae.
UAUUGAAGACAAUCAGAAAAGUUGUUGCCAAUUUAUCACAGAAGCAUGGCAUGAUACCUUCCUAAUGACUAAGGUUGCAUUAAUUCUCGCUGUCGCCGGAGCGUGCAGACGAGAGGAAUUGACGACGCAAACAGUGGACGACAUUGUGAAUUUGGGAUCUGCACUAAUUAUAAAAAUUCCAAGGAACUAAGACAAAAAUUACAAGAAAAUUCACAGUUGUAAAUAACAGUGAAGAUUUUCUCAGAAUAUACUGCAUCAAAUACGCUGCACUCCGACCACCGGACCUAAACCAUAAGCGGUUUUCGAUUUCCUUUAGAAAUAGAAGAUAUUUCAGACAACUUAUACAUAUACAGUACCUCUCGGAGGCGAAGUUUAGCUUAUAGCUAUUCUUACACUUAACCUCUUACAAAAAUAACCUACAGUUUACACUACAAAUAUAUAACAGAAAUUCUAGAAAUGAGAUAAUUAUAAGAGAAAAGAAAAAUAAUGAGAUAAAAAAAAUUAUAAAUUUACAGAAGCUUAUAUGAAAAACAACCACAUGAUUCAUUAAUACGUGUAUAAGAUAAUCUAAUACGUAACCUAAUAGUUUAAGAAUUGUUUUUUUUUUAAAUAAGAUUUGAAUAAGGUGGAAAAUACAUAUUUCUUAAAUCGGGCAAUGGGAAGAUCCUUAAUGUUACAGUCUACAGCAUUACAUAUCAUUAUAUAUUGUAACUAAAACAGCGUUUAAAUUUUUUGACAAAUCGUCGUGUUUUCUGAUAUUCGACAUAAAGUGAUAAAUUUUGGAUCUUUUGCAGUCUACUUUUAUGUAUGGGAUACAAACAAAGGUGAUAAAC